This 120-nucleotide ribosomal RNA is filed under the name uncultured bacterium. RNAcentral describes it as "partial 16S ribosomal RNA". It matches the Rfam family "Bacterial small subunit ribosomal RNA", at positions 28 to 150 of the family's 1533-position model. The record is from RNAcentral.
GACGAACGCUGGCGGCGUGCUUAACACAUGCAAGUCGAGCGGUAAGGCCCUUCGGGGUACACGAGCGGCGAACGGGUGAGUAACACGUGAGCAAUCUGCCCAUCACAUCGGGAUAACUCC